Molecule: non-coding RNA, 89 nt
Organism: Glossina morsitans morsitans
Lineage: Eukaryota; Metazoa; Arthropoda; Insecta; Diptera; Glossinidae
Source: Rfam
GGACUAAUUUAGUACGUAGGCGCCAGGGACGACGAGUCGUGCAAGCUGCUGAUACGGGCCAGUAGUAUCUUUUGAAGAUUUCUACUUCC